This 199-nucleotide long non-coding RNA is filed under the name Lathyrus oleraceus (garden pea). Its description in RNAcentral is "Pisum sativum (pea) long non-coding RNA (PSAT_LNC025626)". Lineage: Eukaryota; Viridiplantae; Streptophyta; Magnoliopsida; Fabales; Fabaceae. The record is from RNAcentral.
UUUGAAAGUUUUUGGUGAAAGUCGCAUAUUUUUUGGAUCAACAAUGAAAUUAAUAUGAACUAAUGAAAAAUAGAGCAAUUGAAAGGAAUUUCAGAAAUUCAAAAAUACAUGGACCAUCUGAUCUCCCUCAUUAAUUGAGUUGGCAUAUCAGAUGGACUAGAAAGUGCGUUCAACAAAGGUCGAAGUCAACUGAGAUACA